CCCCACUGCUAUCGGGAUGGGACUAAGACAUGCUAGUCGUGCGUCUCCAAGCCAUGGCGGAGACGCGGCGCACAGCUCAGUAACACGUGGCUAACCUGCCCUUAGGACAGGGACAACCCCGGGAAACUGGGGCUAAUCCCCGAUAGGUAAGGAAUCCUGGAAUGGAUCUUUGCUGAAAGGGCGUCUGGACCAUGCUUCUUGACGUCGCCCAAGGAUGGAGCCGCGACCGAUCAGGUAGUUGGCGAGGCAACGGCUCACCAAGCCUAUAACCGGUACGGGCCGUGAGAGCGGGAGCCCGGAGAUGGGCACUGAGAUAAGGGCCCAGGCCCUACGGGGCGCAGCAGUUGCGAAAACUCCGCAAUGCACGAAAGUGUGACGGGGCUACCCCGAGUGCCGUCCGCUGAGGAUGGCUUUUCUCCGCUGUAAGGAGGCGGAGGAAUAAGGAGAGGGCAAGCCUGGUGUCAGCCGCCGCGGUAAUACCAGCUCUCCGAGUGGUGGGGAUGUUUAUUGGGCCUAAAGCAUUCGUAGCCUGCUUGGCAAGUCCUCCGUUAAAUCCAACGAUUCAAUCGUUGGGCUGCGGGGGAUACUGUCCAGCUAGGGGGCGGGAGAGGCCGACGGUAUCCCCGGGGUAGGGGUGAAAUCCUAUAAUCCCGGGAGGACCACCAGUGGCGAAGGCUGUCGGCUAGAACGCGCUCGACGGUGAGGGAUGAAAGCUGGGGGAGCGAACCGGAUUAGAUACCCGGGUAGUCCCAGCUGUAAACGAUGCAGGCUAGGUGUUGGCGCGGCUACGUGCCGCUCCAGUGCCGCAGGGAAGCCGUUAGGCCUGCCGCCUGGGAAGUACGGCCGCAAGGCUGAAACUUAAAGGAAUUGGCGGGGGAGCACCACAAGGUGUGAAGCUUGCGGUU
This 905-nucleotide ribosomal RNA is filed under the name uncultured archaeon. RNAcentral describes it as "bacterial SSU rRNA". It matches the Rfam family "Archaeal small subunit ribosomal RNA", at positions 21 to 902 of the family's 1478-position model. The record is from RNAcentral.